GAUGAACGCUAGCUACAGGCUUAACACAUGCAAGUCGAACGGAGUGAUGAUUUCGGUUAUCACUUAGUGGCGAACGGGUGAGUAACGCGUGAGAAACCUGCCUUUCAGUGGGGGACAACAGUUGGAAACGACUGCUAAUACCGCAUAAUGUCAUUUGGGGGCAUCCCUGGAUGACCAAAGAUUUAUUGCUGAAAGAUGGUCUCGCGUCUGAUUAGCUAGUUGGCGGGGUAACGGCCCACCAAGGCGACGAUCAGUAGCCGGUCUGAGAGGAUGAACGGCCACAUUGGGACUGAGAUACGGCCCAG
RNAcentral lists this ribosomal RNA (305 nucleotides) under uncultured bacterium. RNAcentral describes it as "bacterial SSU rRNA". It matches the Rfam family "Bacterial small subunit ribosomal RNA", at positions 28 to 334 of the family's 1533-position model. The record is from RNAcentral.